Molecule: long non-coding RNA, 286 nt
Organism: Girardinichthys multiradiatus
Lineage: Eukaryota; Metazoa; Chordata; Actinopteri; Cyprinodontiformes; Goodeidae
Exons: 3
Source: RefSeq, a predicted model, not a curated record
CCACCAGGGGGAAAAAUGAGGUGGGUCUGGGAGUGGAGAGUUUGUCCUUGAGUGGAGAACAUGAUCCAGGGAUUCCCAAGCUACUUGCUGAAGGAGGUCUGAAUCAUCGAAGGAGGCUUGGAACCAGAAGGAGAACUGGAGUGGAAUCCAGUGAACUAUGUAACCUGGGGAGGAGCACAAUCAAGGAUGAUGAGGCUUGAUGAAGAACACCUGUCUCACCCUCAGAGACCCUGCUCUGGCACCACCUAGAGGAAACCAAAGGAAGUGCAAGCAGCAAAGGAAACAG